Molecule: unclassified non-coding RNA, 155 nt
Filed under: uncultured Ascomycota
Lineage: Eukaryota; Fungi; Ascomycota
Description: sequence contains ITS1
Source: RNAcentral
GCGAGUUAUUCAACUCCCAACCCUUUGUGAACUUACUAUUGUUGCCUCGGCGGGACCUACCCUGUAGCUACCCUGUAGCGACCGAGUACCCCGCCGGUGGAAUCUUAAACUCUUGUUAUUUAAUGGAAAUCUGAGCGUAUUAUUUUAAUAAGUUA